Molecule: ribosomal RNA, 450 nt
Filed under: uncultured bacterium
Lineage: Bacteria
Description: partial 16S ribosomal RNA
Rfam family: Bacterial small subunit ribosomal RNA
Source: RNAcentral
GUGGGGAAUAUUGGACAAUGGGCGAAAGCCUGAUCCAGCCAUGCCGCGUGUGUGAAGAAGGUCUUCGGAUUGUAAAGCACUUUAAGUUGGGAGGAAGGGCAGUAAGUUAAUACCUUGCUGUUUUGACGUUACCGACAGAAUAAGCACCGGCUAACUUCGUGCCAGCAGCCGCGGUAAUACGAAGGGUGCAAGCGUUAAUCGGAAUUACUGGGCGUAAAUCGCGCGUAGGUGGUUUUGUAAGUUGGAGGUGAAAUCCCCGGGCUCAACCUGGGAACUGCCUCCAAAACUGCAAGACUAGAGUACGGUAGAGGGUAGUGGAAUUUCCUGUGUAGCGGUGAAAUGCGUAGAUAUAGGAAGGAACACCAGUGGCGAAGGCGACUACCUGGACUGAUACUGACACUGAGGUGCGAAAGCGUGGGGAGCAAACAGGAUUAGAUACCCGUGUAGUCC